Molecule: ribosomal RNA, 520 nt
Filed under: uncultured Glomus
Lineage: Eukaryota; Fungi; Glomeromycota; Glomeromycetes; Glomerales; Glomeraceae
Description: SSU rRNA
Rfam family: Eukaryotic small subunit ribosomal RNA
Source: RNAcentral
AGCAGCCGCGGUAAUUCCAGCUCCAAUAGCGUAUAUUAAAGUUGUUGCAGUUAAAAAGCUCGUAGUUGAAUUUCGGGGUUAGUAGGUUGGUCAUGCCUCUGGUAUGUACUGGUCUCACUGAUUCCUCCUUCCUGAUGAACCUUAAUGCCAUUUAUUUGGUGUUUUGGGGAAUUUGGACUGUUACUUUGACAAAAUUAGAGUGUUUAAAGCAAGCUAACGCUUGAAUACAUUAGCAUGGAAUAAUGAAAUAGGACGUUCGAUCCUAUUUUGUUGGUUUCUAGGAUUGACGUAAUGAUUAAUAGGGAUAGUUGGGGGCAUUAGUAUUCAAUUGUCAGAGGUGAAAUUCUUGGAUUUAUUGAAGACUAACUACUGCGAAAGCAUUUGCCAAGGAUGUUUUACAUUAAUCAAGAACGAAAGUUAGGGGAUCGAAGACGAUCAGAUACCGUCGUAGUCUUAACCAUAAACUAUGCCGACUAGGGAUCGGAUGAUGUUAAUUUUUAAUGACUCUAUUCGGCGCCUU